Molecule: long non-coding RNA, 2016 nt
Organism: Panthera uncia (snow leopard)
Lineage: Eukaryota; Metazoa; Chordata; Mammalia; Carnivora; Felidae
Exons: 2
Source: RefSeq, a predicted model, not a curated record
CUCAAGCGGGGCGCCUGGGUGGCUCAGUCGGUUGAGCGUCCGACUUCGGCUCAGGUCAUGAUGUCGUGGUUUGUGAGUUCGAGCCCCGCGUCGGGCUCUGUGCUGUCCUUGCAGAGCCCACGGCAGAUCUUCUGUCUCCCUCUCUGUCUGCCCCUUCCCCACUUGUGCUCUCUCUUUCUCAAAACUAAAAAUAAACAUUACUCAGCUACUCUGUCAAAGGAAACCUUAAGAAGGGACACCUGAUGCAAACGUGGCUCACAGUCUUCACCGUUGAGUUGGGUGACGAGUACGUGUGGAGGUUCAGACAUAGGUGUGUGUUUGGAAUUUUUCAGACAAAAGAGUUUUAGAGCUUUGUUGGCCGUUCCCAAGCCUUAACGUCCUAUUGGCUCUCUCCUCUUUCAGGUGUCUCCCAAAUAGGUACCUCUGCUGUAACCAAAUUCGGACGAGGGUGAUUGGCUGAGAGCUCUUAAAAAGUCACGUGCUUCCACCUGUGGCUGAGAGCACGGACCUAAGAAGAGCUUGUGGCCUCAGGGAGGAGCGAGUCUGGAAAGCACGCUCUGCUGAUCCCUGCCGAGCUUGCUGUGAGGUCUGGACUCCAGCCGAGUGAGGCCCCUCGGUCGCAGAGUCUAAGGAGGCGUUGCCUCCCAGGGGCCGCCCCUGCGCUGUUGCCCCCGGGGAGGGAGCUCCUUAAAGCCUCUGCCCUAGGCACCCCGCUUGCCUUCCGCUACCCCAGGUCCUACUGCGUUGGAUGCCUCAAUACAACUUCCAGAACACCAGGGGACCGGAAGGGCUCCCAAGGCAAACCAGGCGACCCUGCCAGUCUGUCCGUCCGUGCACUCCAGGAAGUCUCAAGGGGGAGCAUCAGGCCUCCUGCUAACAAGCGAGAGACAGAGCACGAGCAGGGAAGGGGCAGAGAGAGGGAGACACAGAAUCUGAAACAGGCUCCAGGCUCUGAGCUGUCAGCAUAGAGCCCGACGCGGGGCUCGAACUCACGGACCGUGAGAUCAUGACCUGAGCCGAAGUCAGACGCUCAACCGACUGAGCCACCCAGGCGCCCCAGAAGUGGCAUUUAAUAACCACCUCAAGCAAUAAAGCUGUGCAGUUCUCUUCCAGAACUUCUGAUCACACUAAGGAACACAUCUCACUCGGAUGCCAGUGUGUCUUAGAACUUUCCUGAAGUUGGCCAGUAUCUCUUUAACGAAGACAUCAGGAUUUAGGCCCAGAAAUUUCUGCAGGUAACCAUAUAGGAUUAUAAUUUAGUAUCCUUUGUCUUUUGUCCUUAUUGCAUUUUUUUAUGUUCACUUAAAAUUUAUUCCGUAUGCAGAAUUUCUAUUCGUGUAUUUAAGUUUUAUCUAUGGCUAGUGAUAGCAACAUUUAAUAAUUUCUAGCAGGAUGCUGUUAGGAUCAAAAAAUAGCAUCCCGAGUUUGAGGAUUAAGGCACAGGGUUGGGAGUUGCAGUUUGAAUCUUGGUUCUGCCACAGUCUUGGAAAAAAAUCCACUUUUUAAAAUUUUUUUAAUGUCUGUUUAUUUUUGAGAGAAAGUGUGACCACGAUAGGGGCAGAGAGAGAGGGAGACACAAUCUGAAGCAGGCGCCAGGCUUUGAGCUGGCAGCACCGAGCCUGACGCAGGGCCGGAACCCAUGAACCAUGAGAUCAUGACCUGCGUCGGACACCUAUUUUUUUCUGCCCCAGAAAAAAAUGAACUUUUGAACCUCACUUUUUCUGCUGUAAAGUGAAGAUGCUGACGUACAAGAUGCUCCACUGUCCCAAAAAUAAGGAUGUAAAAAUUACUGUGUGUCCAGCACCCGGAGCAUGGAAGGUCUAGAAGUACCAAAACUAAAUGGCCGAAUGCAGUAACACAAACAUCCCAACGAAGACAGUUGUUUCAUCUCACGGUUUUAUCAAGCAGCCACAAACCACGUGGGUGACAGAGGUAGUCUCAUUCCUGUGUCUGUAAAGGAGGGUUAUCCUGACCUUUGUACACUAACACAUCCCAUUCCACAGGAUUCUGGGUUUU